AUACCAAUCUAGCCUGGCUAGGUGUUGGGCUUCGCCGUCUGGCGGGCCUUAAAACCAGUGGCGGUGCUCUUAGGCUCUACGCGUAGUAAUUUUCUCGCUAUAGGGUCCUGGGAGAUGCUGGCCAGCAACCCCAAAUUUUUCUA
This 143-nucleotide unclassified non-coding RNA is filed under the name uncultured Lachnum. RNAcentral describes it as "sequence contains ITS2". The record is from RNAcentral. Lineage: Eukaryota; Fungi; Ascomycota; Leotiomycetes; Helotiales; Hyaloscyphaceae.